UUUAUGCAGCAAAUGAUGUGGAAGCCAAAAGUGUUUCUAUUUAAAGCAGGACCCUUUCACAAGAAAACUGCCCCUGGCCGCCUCUAAUUAUUCACACCAUCUCUCUUUCUUUCUCUCAAUAAAAGGAGCUUGAGUACUUCAGAUCAGUUUUUGUGGCCGAGGAGAUGAAGCUAGGAGGUUCAGAGAUGGAGGGGUGUUAAAUAUUUGUAACGAAGGUAUUGGCGUGGCUCAAUUUGAAGACAUGGUUGAAAGAGAAAUUAGCCAUGUGAUUUGAUUGAGCCGCGUCAAUAUCUCCUUUUGCACCCUUCUCCAUCCCUCUUCACCAACAAAUCAAGCACUUGAUAAAAGAAUUAAAGAAACAGAACAGGAAUAUUACUGAGGAAUCGUCCGUUGUACGUCUUCCUUCCAUAACUGCGACGAGAGUGGGACCCUACUGCCCUUUGCUUUCAGUUGGAUUGCAUUAAUUGUAUUAUUCCAUCACCUCUGUCCGGUAGCAGCCUUGUGAUGUUUCUUUUCAACCAUUCCCUUGAAGAACACGGUAAAAUAAACAGAGACAAGUAGGGCUUUCCAGGCCGUAAACGUCGAGUUUUAACCUAUUAUUGACAAGUGUUGUAUAUGAGAGAAACAGAGAAGGUGGCCCCAGGUUAAAUAAGGCUACACGUUCUGUUUCUUCACAUUCUUAGUACUUUAAAGUUGUUUCUUCUUCUUCUCCGUAAAAGUUCAAUCUAGUUGUCCUAUCACGUAUAAUUACUUUUCGUUUUACAUGCA
Alnus glutinosa is the source of this 768-nucleotide long non-coding RNA. RefSeq lists it as uncharacterized. The transcript is spliced from 2 exons. The record is from RefSeq and is a predicted model, not a curated record. NCBI's taxonomy places the organism in Eukaryota, Viridiplantae, Streptophyta, Magnoliopsida, Fagales, Betulaceae.